This 442-nucleotide ribosomal RNA is filed under the name uncultured bacterium. RNAcentral's name for it is "partial 16S ribosomal RNA". It matches the Rfam family "Bacterial small subunit ribosomal RNA", at positions 338 to 795 of the family's 1533-position model. The record is from RNAcentral.
CCUACGGGUGACAGCAGUAGGGAAUCUUUCACAAUGGGCGAAAGCCUGAUGGAGCAACGCCGCGUGCAGGAUGAAGGCCUUCGGGUUGUAAACUGCUUUUAUAAGCGAGAAAUAUGAUGGUAACUUAUGAAUAAGGAUCGGCUAACUACGUGCCAGCAGCCGCGGUCAUACGUAGGAUCCGAGCAUUAUCCGGAGUGACUGGGUGUAAAGAGUUGCGUAGGUGGCAUAAUAAGUAGCUAGUGAAAUCUGGUGGCUCAACCAUUCAGACUAUUAGCUAAACUGUUAAGCUCGAGACCGUUAGGGGUAACUGGAAUGUCUAGUGUAGGAGUGAAAUCCGUAGAUAUUAGAAGGAACACCAAUAGCGUAGGCAGGUUGCUGGGACGGUUCUGACACUAAGGCACGAAAGCGUAGGGAGCAAACGGGAUUAGAUACCCCAGUAGUC